Molecule: small nuclear RNA, 156 nt
Filed under: Sciurus vulgaris (Eurasian red squirrel)
Lineage: Eukaryota; Metazoa; Chordata; Mammalia; Rodentia; Sciuridae
Description: U2 spliceosomal RNA (ENSSVLG00005018365.1)
Rfam family: U2 spliceosomal RNA
About the family: U2 is a small nuclear RNA (snRNA) component of the spliceosome (involved in pre-mRNA splicing). Complementary binding between U2 snRNA (in an area lying towards the 5' end but 3' to hairpin I) and the branchpoint sequence (BPS) of the intron results the bulging out of an unpaired adenosine, on the BPS, which initiates a nucleophilic attack at the intronic 5' splice site, thus starting the first of two transesterification reactions that mediate splicing.
Source: Rfam by way of RNAcentral
AUAUCUUCUUGGCCUUUUGGCUAAGAUCAAGUGUAGUAUUUGUUCUUAUCAUUGCAGUAAAUUGUUUAGAAAGUUAAAUUGAAAGAAGAAACUAGCCAUGUUAGGUUCCAUUAUAAGAGAGCUAAUGGCAAUACAGCCCAAUUCAAUAAAACAAUU